Oncorhynchus tshawytscha (Chinook salmon) is the source of this 955-nucleotide long non-coding RNA. The record is from Ensembl. NCBI's taxonomy places the organism in Eukaryota, Metazoa, Chordata, Actinopteri, Salmoniformes, Salmonidae.
UUGACAUUGCUUUCGACACCUGGUAGAGACCAUGUCCGACGACUCAAUAUUAUGAUUUUUUUGUGAGAUUUUUAUUUUUUUUACAUCGUACAAAUCGGUUAUUCAAUGGGUUUGUGUGGGCUAAUAGCAGUAAGGCCAAAUUCAGUGUUUCAUCAAAUAAUCUUGUAAUAUAUAUUUUCUAUACCUAAAGGGGUACUAGAAUUCAAAAUCUAACUUUUUUCACUACCAAAGGACUCCUGACUCGAAUAUUACGGACUCUGACAAUCAGAUAUUGCGGACUUGGGACUCGACUGGGACUUGACUGUUUUAGUGACUCGACUACAUCACUGCAUGACCAAACCAUGAACUGUGGUGUUGAAUGUGGAGACCAAACUUGACACUUGGCUAAUGAUUGCCCUUCUGCAGCCCAGGGUUUCCCUGAUGGAUCAGACACAUGGAGAAGUCAAGUGCCAGCUGUAUCACAACCGGCCGUGAUUGGGAGUCCCAUAGGGCGGCGCACAACUGGCCCAGCGUCGUCCGGAUUUGGCCGUCAUUAUGACAAAACCUGCACACAGGCCAAGGGGUGCAGGUCUGCCGACUUCCUUCUGGCCACACAUUGUAUUCUGAGAAAUAGGACAUUGCUUUAACUGUGAAUGUACUUUAUUGCAGAUAUUUUCCUCAAAUAAAAUUCACCAUACAUUAAAAUAAACAAGUUAUUACAACUGAUUUACAUUGGGUCUAAUGUGUGUAUGAGGCAUGUUUUUCAACUCAGAAAAAAAGCACACAAAAUGUCCUAAAACUACAUAUUAAGCAAGUCUUUUACAAUAUUAUCAAUCACACUUUGAUUUGAUAGAUAGUUUGAGUAAUUAUGUAGAUAUUGAGCAUGUCUAUGAGGGAGUAGAUAUCUCCAAUCCUACAAUAAAAUGGAGCAAACAUUAAACAAGUAAUUACAACUUAUUUACAUUGUGGAUGUGUG